Artibeus jamaicensis (Jamaican fruit-eating bat) is the source of this 207-nucleotide small nucleolar RNA. RefSeq annotates it as small nucleolar RNA U3. The transcript has a single exon. NCBI's taxonomy places the organism in Eukaryota, Metazoa, Chordata, Mammalia, Chiroptera, Phyllostomidae. The record is from RefSeq and is a predicted model, not a curated record.
UAAAAACUACUUUCAGGGAUUGUUGCUAUAGCUCAUUACUAGAGAAGUUUCUCUGAACGUGUAGAGCACCCGAAACCACAAAGAGGAGGCGCAGUGUUCUCUCCUGUGCUUGAAGCCAGCUUUUGGUGUUGCUUUUGCGACUGCCAAGAGCCAUUGACAAUCGUUCUUCUCUUCUUUUGAAAGAGGAGAGAAUGCAGUCUUAGUGGU